Molecule: ribosomal RNA, 192 nt
Filed under: Triticum aestivum (bread wheat)
Lineage: Eukaryota; Viridiplantae; Streptophyta; Magnoliopsida; Poales; Poaceae
Description: partial small subunit ribosomal RNA
Source: RNAcentral
AUGGCAGAGCGGAUUGCUCACCCUCUCCAAACCGCGUUCCUGAAGGGUCAGCGAAUCCAUGAUGGGAUCUUGGCCCUUCAUGAAAUUGUCCAUGAGGUGGCUUCGCGGUGCCAUAAGGGCGUCUUCCUUAAAUUGGAUUUCUAGAAGGCAUACGAUCGCCUGGAUUGGUCCUUUUUGAGGUUGGUGAUGUAG